Molecule: long non-coding RNA, 444 nt
Organism: Phragmites australis (common reed)
Lineage: Eukaryota; Viridiplantae; Streptophyta; Magnoliopsida; Poales; Poaceae
Exons: 3
Source: RefSeq, a predicted model, not a curated record
CCCACACUCACGUUCUAACAGCAAGGUAGCAAGCAGGACCUCUCCUCCCUCUCUCAAACACUCUCUUUUCCACCCAAAAUCCCCCUCAUGCACUUGGAAUCCAGCACUUUGUACAUCUCCUCUUGAAGCUUCUCCCAUUGAAUUCUUCCCAAAUCAACAGCCACAAGCCUUGGAAAAGCACAUUGGGUUGGCAAGCGAGGAAAGGUUAGCUUCAGGCUACUUCAUGUCCGCCGGUGCCGGUGGUGGGCAAGAUUAGUGUCGUCUACUCAUUGGCGAGGUUUGGUUGGAGCCUAAGGGCAUAUGGCUCCACCUGUUGUUGUUAGGUUUCUUCCACUGUGUAGUUUUAUCCGUUUGAUGUAAAUUGUUGUAAAUCUGUUUUUGCUUAAGAAUUUGUAAUAUAAUGUUAAUUACUCACUUUUUAUUAAGUUGUGUUGUGAUAUUGAA